This 1064-nucleotide long non-coding RNA is filed under the name Sorghum bicolor (sorghum). RNAcentral describes it as "long non-coding RNA (SBIC_LNC015308)". The record is from RNAcentral. Lineage: Eukaryota; Viridiplantae; Streptophyta; Magnoliopsida; Poales; Poaceae.
AGCAUGAUGAGAGCGACAAGGGGCUCUUCUCAAACAUGAUGCACGGCGUUGCCGGUGGCCAUGGGUACCCUCACCAGGGAUACCCUCCGCAGGGCUACCCACCACCACAAGGAGCAUACCCACCUCCCCCAGGGGCGUAUCCUCCUCCUCCACCAGGGGCAUACCCACCUCCACCUGGGGCAUACCCACCACAACAUGGGUACCCUCAGCCAGGUGGCUACCCACCGCAAGGUGGAUAUCCUCCUGCAGGCUACCCAGGCUCAUCUCACCAGGGUAUGAUACUACAGUUAAUAUACUACAGAGGAGUUUAGAGAUUGUUUUGGUUUGCUCUGUUGUAUUGCUUUUUAUUGUUCAGAUUCAGAACUCGUACACCUUAACUAACAUUUGUAUCCUGAUCAUGUUGGAAAUUGGUAGUAGUUCUAUUUUGUUGAUUCAGUCAAAUGACAAUAGAUAGCUAAGCAUUCCUUUCACAAAAGAAGUGGUCAUGAGAAUAGCUAAUUCGUCCAACUCUAGCAAAUACUCAUUUUCUAUUUACAAAUUAUUGAAACACUUUAUAUACUACACUCAGGUGUUGAGAUUGUUUUGGAUUGCUUUGUUGUAUUGUUAUAUACAUUUUAUUUUUCAGAUUUAAAACUGUACUACCUCAUACAGCUGCACUAACAUUUAUAUAUACAUUUUAUUGUUGUAAUGUUGGAAAUUGGUAUUUCUGUUCUGCUGAUCCAGUCAAACGUUGAAUCUCAGUUCAUGCUAAUGUCUCUUGUGAUUUCAGGUUAUGGGAGCAGCCAUGGCGGGAGCCACAUGGGGAUGGGGACAGUUCUAGCUGGAGGUGCUGCCGCCGCCGCAGCUGCUUAUGGAGCACACAAGCUUUCUCAUGGCCAUAGCGGACACGGUGGACAUGGUGUCUUUGGAGGAGGCUAUGGUCAUGGUGGCUACGGCCACGGCUACGGCGGCCACGGCAAGUUCAAGCAUGGUCACGGCGGCCACGGCAAGUUCAAGCACGGUCACGGCAAGUUCAAGCAUGGCAAGCACGGGCACGGCAUGUUCGGCGGCAAGUUCAAGAAGUG